RNAcentral lists this ribosomal RNA (366 nucleotides) under uncultured organism. Its description in RNAcentral is "bacterial LSU rRNA". It matches the Rfam family "Bacterial large subunit ribosomal RNA", at positions 2099 to 2465 of the family's 2925-position model. The record is from RNAcentral.
CUUUACUGCAACUUGACGUUGGAACUUGGCUGUAUUUGUGUAGGAUAGGUGGGAGACUUUGAAGCAGGGCCGCCAGGUCUUGCGGAGUCGUCGUUGAAAUACCACCCUGGUGCUGACGAGUUUCUAACCGUGUCCGUAAGCCGGACAUGAGACAGCGUCUGGUGGGCAGUUUGACUGGGGCGGUCGCCUCCUAAAAGGUAACGGAGGCAUUCAAAGGUCCCCUCAGCGUGGUCGAUAAUCACGCGCAGAGUGCAAACGCAUAAGGGGGCUUAACUGCGAGACCGACAGGUCGAGCAGGUACGAAAGUAGGAAUUAAUAAUCCCGCGGUUUAGCGUGGAAUUGCCGUUGCUCAAUGGAUAAAAGGUA